RNAcentral lists this long non-coding RNA (1872 nucleotides) under Equus caballus (horse). Its description in RNAcentral is "lncRNA (ENSECAG00000057472.1)". Lineage: Eukaryota; Metazoa; Chordata; Mammalia; Perissodactyla; Equidae. The record is from RNAcentral.
UCAAACACAGAACAGAGAGACCGAGAGAAAAACUAAUGAUUCAAAUAAUCUUAGCCUUUGUGCCCACUCUGCGCAUCAGAGCCCUGGAGAGGAGAAGAAGGGAGGAGCAUCCCACACCCCUAAACGUUUUCUCCACAGAAACAGCAAAGUGCAGACCAUGGAAGCUGGAGGGAACAGGAAACCAUCCAGCACAACCUCUCAUCCAACAUAGCUCCCCUCUUUCCAGCAUCUUCAGUGGCUGGUCAACUCACAUCCAUUCAGAUACCUCUAAGGAUGGUGAACUCAUUUCCUCCCUCUAGCUCACCCACCUCAUGGCGAGAAAUGCUUCCUUCUAAGAAAUCCAGACCUGACAGUAAGGUCCUAGCUCUGCCCUCUGGAUCCUACCCAACCUGUUUGCCAAGUCCACAGGACUGUCUUUCACAAGGAACAAGGCCUGUGCUCCUCUGGAGGCUUCAUUUAUGAGCAUCCAUUGUUCUCUUAUGCGGCAAAUGCAGAGAUAGAUACAACACUGUUACGGCCUUCAUGAUGCUCAAAGAUGAGAAGGGGAGCCAGUUAUGGACACAGAAACCAACAAAUCGGUAAGGGAAGAAUAGAGUUAAAGGAGGCGCUGCAGCCAGUGGGGGCACCUGGAAGCUGGCAAGAGCAGACACUCCUUCACCGACACAUUCCCAGCAUAAAACACAGCUCCUGGCACACAGCUGGUGUUUAAUUAAUGCUGAAUGAACACCUGAGCCAGGGAUGCCAGGUAAGGGUUCCCUGGGAAGGUGUUCUCCAGGCUGGGGCUUGUAGGAAAGAUGGUAUUGGGCCAGGUGAGACUAAGUCUGAAAACACCUGGUUUUGUAAAAUCUUGAUUUACUUCCAACAUUGGAAAAUUCAGGAGAUUUCAUGUUAAAACCUGGACUUGUGGCCUUUCCUGAAAACUUGGAGGAUCUUGCAACACUGGGCCCACAAUUCCUCUGGGUGACCAUCUCUUCGUGCUGAGUAGCAGCUGAUCCUUCCAGACACGAGCUACAUUCUCCUCCAAUCAGCUUCUUACUAACGCUUUCUUGCCUGGUCCUUACAGGCGUCUGUGUAGACUCUUAUACUGAACCUGCACCUAUGGUUAUUUAGAAAGCUUUUAAUUCAGUGAUUCUCAGCUUGAAGGAUGAAGGAAAGAUAGCCUCUUAGGAUUUUUCAAACUACUCUCAUAUACCAGAAAGAUUCUCACACAGCUCCCUCCCACGAUCCUCCCUCUCCGCAUGCACAAUGAAAAUCCCUGUUAAAUGCCCCGCCUCCCUCCUGCCACAUUGGCAGAGCUCAAGUGUGGAACUUCCACCCACGAAGUUUCUCUGAUCCUGCAGGAAGAUGUGUAGACGCUUACUCUAACUCACAUAACAGCAGUCACCACGCUCUCCUCUCUAAUCAUCACUAGAGUUUGUCACCUAGCAACACAGCAUCCAUCGGGGUAGCAACUGCUCACCAAUUCAUUCAUCCCUUCAACAGACAUUGACUGAGCUGCUCCCACGCCUGGGAUAGGCAGAGACUCAAAAAAGAUGUGUUGCAUGAAUGAAUGAAGAUACCGGGAUGAAUGAGGCCCCAAAGGAGGUCAUACUCUGGGCAGGAGAAAAAGAUUUUUAAAAAGAGUUGAAAUACAGGUCAUAAUAGACGUGAGUGUGCAUAUGUAAAUUCCAAAGAGGAAGCCCCUGUCCUGUUUAGGGAAGUCAGAGAAAGAAGGGGGGAUAGUUCAGUUAGGUCUCGAGAGGGGAGCAGGAGUUUGUUAGGACAGGAAGAAGGAACAGGAGAAACCACGUUCCAGGACAAAGGAACAGGAAAGCAAAGGCCUCGAAGUAUGGAGCUGCAUGAUAUGUCUGGGGACAUAGGCAAGGUCAAUAU